This is a non-coding RNA of Eragrostis curvula (weeping love grass), 72 nucleotides long. The record is from the annotation of a GenBank genome assembly. NCBI's taxonomy places the organism in Eukaryota, Viridiplantae, Streptophyta, Magnoliopsida, Poales, Poaceae.
CAUAAAGUAGUGUAGUGGUAAGUUUCUUGCCUCAUAAGCUAUAGGUUGGGGGUUCAAGUCUUCACUUUGUCA